UUAGGCGGAGAGUAGAAGUCGGGUCCCACCCGACCCGUCUUGAAACACGGACCAAGGAGUCUAACAUGUGCGCGAGUCGUCGAGUCUUUUUACGAAACUCGCGAGGCGCAAUGAAAGUAAAGUUCGGCCCCGAUGAGGGUGCCGCGAGGGGAGAUCCCGUCUCGAAUAGAGCGGGCGCAUCCCCAGGGCGUUCGAUGCCGCGAAUUGAUUCACUUCAGAGCCGGCCGAACGAACCCAGAGCGUACACGUUGGGACCCGAAAGAUGGUGACCUAUGCCUGACCAGGUUGAAGUCAGGGGAAACCCUGAUGGAGGACCGCAGCGAUUCUGACGUGCAAAUCGAUCGUCGGAGUUGGGUAUAGGGGCGAAAGACUAAUCGAACCAUCUAGUAGCUGGUUCCCCCCGAAGUUUCCCUCAGGAUAGCUGGUGCUCGCAAAGAAAACGAACGGAGUUUCAUCCGGUAAAGCGAAUGAUUAGAGGCCUUGGGGUCGAAACGACCUCAACCUAUUCUCAAACUUUCAAUGGGUGAGAAGCCCGGCCUUUCGAUCCUUGAUUGAGGCCGUCGGCAUUCGAAUCUGAGCGCCCAGUGGGCCAUUUUUGGUAAGCAGAACUGGCGCUGUGGGAUGAACCAAACGCCCGGUUAAGGCGCCUAAACGACGCACAUUUCGGAUCCCACGAAAAGGAGUUGGUUGCUAAAGACAGCAGGACGGUGGCCAUGGAGGUCGGAAUCCGCUCAGGAGUGUGUAACAACUCACCUGCCGAAGCAACUAGCCCUUAAAAUGGGAGGCGCUAUAGCGUCGUGCCUAUACCGGGCCGUCGGUCGGCAGAGUUCAUACUUCCCGGGACGAAGAGUCUCAUUACAAGGGAAGCUGAGGCCCCGACGAGUAGGGGGGUCGCGACGGUGAGCGUUGAAGGGUCUGGGCGCGAGCCUGCCCGGAGCCGCCGUCGGUGCAGAUCUUGGUGGUAGUAGCAAAUACUCCAGAGGGAUCCUGGAGGACUGACGCGGAGAAGGGUUUCAUGUGAACAGUGGUUGGACAUGAGUCAGUCGAUCCUAAGCCGCAGGAGAAAUCCGACCUAGUGACGGGCGUGAGUUUUU
RNAcentral lists this ribosomal RNA (1094 nucleotides) under Pseudochydorus globosus. RNAcentral describes it as "eukaryotic LSU rRNA". It matches the Rfam family "Eukaryotic large subunit ribosomal RNA", at positions 615 to 1589 of the family's 3401-position model. Lineage: Eukaryota; Metazoa; Arthropoda; Branchiopoda; Diplostraca; Chydoridae. The record is from RNAcentral.